Aspergillus oryzae RIB40 is the source of this 181-nucleotide non-coding RNA. Lineage: Eukaryota; Fungi; Ascomycota; Eurotiomycetes; Eurotiales; Aspergillaceae. The record is from the annotation of a RefSeq genome assembly.
AGCAUGUUAGCUCAGGGGAAGAGCGGUAAUUUUUCACGUGACCUCCAAUCAAUUCGAGUUAUAAACUAACAUAAUCACAGCCGGGCUCAUAACCCGGAGGUACGAUUAUCCUUCAUCACAACCAAUCACAAUCCGAUUCCUAACGAACAAUAGGUCCCUGGAUCGAAACCAGGACAUGCUA